AUGACUGACGCUGAGGGACGAAAGCGUCGGGAAUCGAAAGGGAUUAGAUACCCCUGUAGUCCACGCCGUAAACUUUGUGCACUCGCUAUUGUCGGAUUCGACCCCGUCAGUGGCCAAGCUAACGCGAUAAGUGCACCGCCUGAGGACUACGGCCGCAAGGCUAAAACUCAAAGGAAUUGACGGGUCCCCGCACAAGCGGCGGAGCAUGUGGCUUAAUUCGAUGCAACGCGAAGAACCUUACCGGGUCUUGACAUGUAGCGGACCGGGGCAGAGAUGCCCCUUCUCUUCGGAGCCGCUUCACAGGUGCUGCAUGGCUGUCGUCAGCUCGUGUCGUGAGAUGUUCGGUUAAGUCCGUCAACGAGCGCAACCCCUGUCCUUAGUUGCCAGCAUUCAGUUGGGGACUCUAAGGAGACAAUCCCGCUUUUGCGGGAGGGAAGGUGGGGAUGAUGUCAAGUCAGUAUGGCCCUUACGGCCUGGGCUGCACACGUGCUACAAUGCCCGGUACAAUAGGUCGCUACUCCGCGAGGAGAUGCUAAUCCAGAAAGCCGGGCCCAGUUCGGAUUGGAGUCUGCAACUCGACUCCAUGAAGUCGGAAUCGCUAGUAAUGGCGCAUCAGCAAUGGCGCCGUGAAUACGUUCCCGGGGAUUGUACACACCGCCCGUCACAUCAUGAAGCCGGUUUCGCCCGAAGUACGUGCAGCCAACCUUCGUGGAGGCAGCGUCCGACGGUGAGGC
Molecule: ribosomal RNA, 734 nt
Filed under: uncultured organism
Description: bacterial SSU rRNA
Rfam family: Bacterial small subunit ribosomal RNA
Source: RNAcentral